Molecule: non-coding RNA, 1748 nt
Organism: Doryrhamphus excisus (bluestripe pipefish)
Lineage: Eukaryota; Metazoa; Chordata; Actinopteri; Syngnathiformes; Syngnathidae
Source: RefSeq, a predicted model, not a curated record
GCACAGGUGGCCUACCUUGUUUAAUGUCUCACAGGUGAGUAUUUGGAUCUUUUGUGUUAAACACAUUAAGGACUGUAAACAACUACUGUAUGUUUCACAGUUAUACUUAAGUAUGCACUUCACUUUUUGUUGUCACUGGUUCUUUUGUCUCUUCUUUCAUAUCUCUCUUUCAGGAGAGGAAGGUGCCAGAAGGGAGGUGAAAGGACACCAAAACUGAUGUCCUUGUUUCCAGCAAGGAAAAGCGAUGUCAGAGCAACAAUUCAAGCACAGACGAACAUUCUACUUCAGAUGGAAUCCAACGUGAGCAGACAAGGGACGUUGUCAUCCGAUUCCUUAUUGACUAUCUUGCUGAACAUGCUAGUGCCCUUUUCAAGGACUUUGAGGAUGCUGGGGAUGGAUCAACCAGCAUUCAAGAGCAGAUGGCAGAUGAAGUGAUGGCGAUUUACCUGUUGCGGAAAGAUGGGUCAGUUGAUGUCGGCAUAGUGAUUGAGGGCAGCACUAUCCUCUGCACUCUUAAGGAUCUUAAGAGGUGGCGGCCCGUGGCCUGGCAAUGUAGGCGCUGCACAUUGGAGGAUACUUCAGAAGGGGAGCUUCUCAAGCAUUACCAAGUCAAGCACAGUAUUUAUGGAUGUGGCUGAGCUGAACCAAAACCAACUAAUCACCAAUUAAAGAAGAGAGACAGCCCAGUCAUUAAGGACUUGAUGUGGAGAACUUUUGCACAUAGAGGAACAUACGACAUACAAAUGAGCAUCAGUGACAUGAAGCACAGGUGGCCUACCUUGUUUAAUGUCUCACAGGAGAGGAAGGUGCCAGAAGGGAGGUGAAAGGACACCAAAACUGAUGUCCUUGUUUCCAGCAAGGAAAAGCGAUGUCAGAGCAACAAUUCAAGCACAGAUGUGAUGAGCAGACACAGCAACAGCCACAAUAGCCACAAUCUUACAUACAGCCCCCUAAGUGUAGGAGUUCAUGUGUUGAUGUUUCCAUAAGUGUCAGAAUGUCAUCAAAAUGUCCUUCUUUGUGCAUUUGAGCCACAUGCUGCAUCCAUUUCAGCCAUAUACUCAUAUGCUCAUGUUGAUGUACCCUGAGGUUAUAUAUUUCAAAUAGAGAUUUCUCAGACUCUGUUAGUAGAUAUAUUAUAUUUUAUAUUUUUGUCAAAAAAAUUUUCAUGGUUUGUUUCAUAUAUUAUAUACAACAAGAGGUUCCCACACACUGUGUGGCUCUCAUUCAUUACUUUAGUUAGGUAACGUUUCGGUCCGUUGGAUCUUCAUCAGACAUAUUAAGUCUAGCAUAUUAGGUCUACCUUCAUCAGACAUAUUAAGUCUAGCAUACUAGGGCUACCUUCAUCAGACAUAUUAAGUCUAGCAUAUUAGGUCUACCUUCAUCAGACAUAUUAGGUCUAGCUAAUAUUUCUGAUGAAGGUCAAACGGACUGAAACGUUUCCUAAAUAAACUAAUGAAUGAGAGCAACACAGUGUGCAGGAACCUCUUUUUGAACACUUUGUUGGCUACACCUGCUUCCUACGCACCUGUGUAUCUUCAGGUGUGCUGAAACUCUGCAUUCACUCUUGUUUCAUAUAUUGACAGGAAGUACUGAAGUAGAUUAAAGAGAAAAUACAUUUUAGAUACUCAUUUUUAUAUAUUUUCUAUAUUUGAUAGUCCAUUAUGACAUUAAAGACAUCAAGUAAAUAUUGCAUAUUUGUUUUGUUCAACAAUAAUCUCAUUUUCUACUUGCUGAAAUUGUAGUUUUGG